GAAUUUGAUGAUCAUUAUUGUCGCCCCAGUCUUACAAGCAUCUAUUGGUGCGAUAUGGUGAUUGACUUCUAGAUCUGAUUC
Small nucleolar RNA from Macleaya cordata, 81 nucleotides. It matches the Rfam family "Small nucleolar RNA U31b". The record is from Rfam. NCBI's taxonomy places the organism in Eukaryota, Viridiplantae, Streptophyta, Magnoliopsida, Ranunculales, Papaveraceae.